AGUGAACGCUGGCGGCAGGCCUAAUACAUGCAAGUCGAACGGCAGCACAGCAGAGCUUGCUCUGUGGGUGGCGAGUGGCGGACGGGUGAGGAAUACGUGGGAAUCUGCCCAGUCGUGGGGAUAACGUAGGGAAACUUACGCUAAUACCGCAUGCGCCUUCGGGGAAAGCCGGGGACCUUCGGGCCUGGCGCGAUUGGAUGAGCCCACGUCGGAUUAGCUAGUUGGCGGGGUAAAGGCCCACCAAGGCGACGAUCCGUAGCUGGUCUGAGAGGAUGAUCAGCCACACUGGAACUGAGACACGGUCCAGACUCUACGGGAGGCAGCAGUA
This 328-nucleotide ribosomal RNA is filed under the name uncultured bacterium. RNAcentral's name for it is "bacterial SSU rRNA". It matches the Rfam family "Bacterial small subunit ribosomal RNA", at positions 29 to 356 of the family's 1533-position model. The record is from RNAcentral.